RNAcentral lists this long non-coding RNA (1860 nucleotides) under Trifolium pratense (red clover). RNAcentral describes it as "long non-coding RNA (TPRA_LNC002027)". The record is from RNAcentral. Lineage: Eukaryota; Viridiplantae; Streptophyta; Magnoliopsida; Fabales; Fabaceae.
GAUGGUUCAAGUGUGGAUGCUGAUGUGACUUCGUGCACGAACGGGAGCAACUUUCUAUCCCAAAUUUGAAAAUGAGGUAUAUGAUUCCUGUCUCAGUUUAUAAUGUUUUGAUUUCAUGAGUGGAGGUUAUAUUUGUUGAAUUUUGUCAUAUGUAUCAAUCUUCCUAGUUUAUAUAUUUUUUCUUCAUAAUCAUUGUUUGAUGAAUCUCAGCCUUAUGGGAUAUUAGACAAUAAAAAAAAAUGUUUUCAAGAACAUUCAAAAGAAAUUGAUAUGCUCUGUGCCGAGACCCUAAAUUUGACCAUUGGAAUCAAUGAAUAUACUAUGUUUUAUAAAUUUUGUAACGGAUGGAUCAUAGAUGCCUCAAUGACUAUAGAGUAAAAUGUUGGAUGAACUUAAUGACUCUAGUCCCUGAAUGUGAAAGCAAGUUGUUGCCUUAAUUUCCACUCAAGCAAUUGUCUCUAUCUGUGUCCUCUUUUUUGUCAAAAAAUCAAAAAAUAUAUAUGAAUUUUUAUUCAAAAUGCAUGAAUGGAUAUCUAUUGUGCUUUGUUGACUCUUUGUCCCUAAAUUCAAUUUUUGCAGUGAUUUGAAUUAUGAUCUUAAUGACCCUAUUACCUAAUGUUUCAUAAGUUUUGUAAGGAAUGGAUGCCUCAAUGAGAUGAUGGCGUCAGAGUAAAAUGCAUUAUUACCCGAAUCGUGAAUCUGUCACUUAGAUGAUUUUUUUUCUCUUUAUCUAUAAUGCAUUGUGUGGUAAACAUGAGCAGUAACUCAAAAUUCAACAAUAAGAUGAAUAUACUUUGUUCCUUGAUUUUUGUAAGGGAUUUUCUUGAUCGUCCAAAAAUGCAAGAUGAUGCCUUAAUGUGAAAGCUAGUAGAUGAGAAGGAAUUCUCAGGUGAUGAGCUAUUCAAGUUUUUUUNNNNNNNNNNNNNNNNNNNNNNNNNNNNNNNNUUCAUUGUGAUUGUUUGUAUUGGCUUUAUGAUUUCAAACAUGGUUGAAUUGUUGAUUUUAGAUUCAUAUAACAACAUAUUCUUAUAUAUAGAACUUUGUUCGACAGUAUUACACUAGUGCAGUUCUGUAAUAGCCGACUGUCAUCCUUUUAGAUUCAUUAUGAAACCAAUGUCCUGUCAAAAAAAAAAAUUAUGAAACCAAUGUCCCAUAGAUGAUGGAAGCGUUUGUUGCAUGGUAGGAACAUGGAACAAUUACAUGUGCUAACUUUCUAUUGAAUUGAAUCCCAGCUUUCAAGGUUAAUUUGUUAACUAGGCAGGCUUUUUACCUCGGAAGUAAAUGUGGGAACGAGUUUUCUUAAUAUGGUAUAAUUCUAUGAUUUGAGAUGCCUUUUCCCCCUAUAUGUAUGGCGUAGAAUCAGAUAUAGUUGUAAAUCUGGUUCGGAAUGAAGGAAAAGUAGGUGAUUCAACCAUUUUAUGUGCUAACAAUGACUGUACUUAUGUGUUUUUCUUAGACCCGUUUCCUGUAAACGUUAAGUAGUGGAGAGCGGAAUUGAUUAACAACCUCUCAUACUUUUCUGUCAAGUUAUUUCUGUUUUUUCUCCUUCUACUAUCCCAAAUUCAGUUUUAUACACGAAGCUGAAGGUUUAAUACUCUCUGUUCUACCAGGUACUAUCAAGACCAAUAUUCGUCCUUUCCAUUGCAACAGUCUUUACUGAUGAACAUGAAUGUAGUGAUGGAACCUCAGAUCAUAUUACUGACUCUCAUGAUUCAGAAAUAUCUACAGCAGAACCAUCUCCUGUGCAGGAUAAUAUGAAUAUUAGGUAUAUGAUUUGAGGUUUCUUACUAAGUUUGCAUGUGCAAUUUAUGCUUGUUGCGAUGAUAUUAUAAACACUUUACUUUUGAGCUUAGAAUGGCA